This 460-nucleotide ribosomal RNA is filed under the name uncultured bacterium. RNAcentral's name for it is "partial 16S ribosomal RNA". It matches the Rfam family "Bacterial small subunit ribosomal RNA", at positions 338 to 795 of the family's 1533-position model. The record is from RNAcentral.
CCUACGGGAGGCAGCAGUGAGGAAUAUUGGUCAAUGGGCGCGAGCCUGAACCAGCCAAGUCGCGUGAAGGAAGACUGCCCUACGGGUUGUAAACUUCUUUUAUAAAGGAACAAAGUGAGGCACGUGUGCCUCUUUGUAUGUACUUUAUGAACAAGGAUCGGCUAACUCCGUGCCAGCAGCCGCGGUAAUACGGAGGAUCCGUGCGUUAUCCGGAUUUAUUGGGUGUAAAGGGCGUGUAGAUGGGUGGUUAAGUCAGUUGUGAAAGUUUGCGGCUCAACCGUAAAAUUGCAAUUGAUACUGGCAGUCUUGAGUACAGGUGAGGUAGGCGGAAUUCGUGGUGUAGCGGUGAAAUGCGUAGAUAUCACGAAGAACUCCGAUUGCGAAGGCAGCUUACUGGACAGCCACUGACGCUGAUGCACGAAAGUGUGGGGAGCGAACAGGAUUAGAUACCCCGGUAGUC